This is a long non-coding RNA of Gossypium arboreum, 254 nucleotides long. RefSeq lists it as uncharacterized. Lineage: Eukaryota; Viridiplantae; Streptophyta; Magnoliopsida; Malvales; Malvaceae. The record is from RefSeq and is a predicted model, not a curated record. The transcript has 2 exons.
AGAAUUCUCUUCAUUUCUCUUCAUAUUCAUCAGCUGAAAAACAGCCAUGGAGGAGGGUUCAAGCUGGUUUUCAUACUCUAGCUUCAUGAUGUGGAUGGAGAGGAGGAGGAGGAAAAAUAUACAUAUAUAUGAAUGACUCGUGUAUAAAUUGAUCACAUGCCCGGUUAUAAUCGAUGAGUGUUGGAUUAGAAAUGAUAUAAUGUUUUAUUUGGAAUAUUUAUUAUGAAAUUAUGAUUAUCGUUAUAAUACAAAAA